UCGGGCCUACGGGGCGCAGCAGUGCGGAAUAUUGGUCAAUGGCCGAGAGGCUGAACCAGCCACGUCGCGUGAGGGAUGACGGCCCUACGGGUUGUAAACCUCUUUUGUCGGGGAGCAAGACCCGCCUCGUGCAGGCGGAGCGAGAGUACCCGAAGAAAAAGCAUCGGCUAACUCCGUGCCAGCAGCCGCGGUAAUACGGAGGAUGCGAGCGUUAUCCGGAUUUAUUGGGUUUAAAGGGUGCG
This 242-nucleotide ribosomal RNA is filed under the name uncultured bacterium. RNAcentral's name for it is "partial 16S ribosomal RNA". It matches the Rfam family "Bacterial small subunit ribosomal RNA", at positions 333 to 571 of the family's 1533-position model. The record is from RNAcentral.